Molecule: long non-coding RNA, 519 nt
Filed under: Sus scrofa (pig)
Lineage: Eukaryota; Metazoa; Chordata; Mammalia; Artiodactyla; Suidae
Description: lncRNA (ENSSSCG00070010972.1)
Source: RNAcentral
CUGCCAGCUCCCCCACCCCACCCCCAUUUCGGACCUUUGCUUCUGUGUGUCUUCCGGAGGACACAGAUGGCAGGAGCAGGGAAUCGGAAGCACUUGGCAAUGAAGCAGCAAUUCAUUGCAAUCCCUUCGGUAUUCAUCGCAACAAUGCCUGCUCUGAUGGGCUCCGCGUCCUGAAUGCAGCUUUCAAUGUGCAAUCCGGCAGGAAUUACGGCUCUGUGUCGUCCUCAUCACGUCCACUUACUGUCAAGUGUUGCUGAGAAUUCUCCCACUCGGAGUGAGGGAACCACUUGUUUUCGCCACUGAUUUCCGAAACCUCCUCUGGGUUGGGGUGUCUGCGAAGCUCCUGAGUCUGGCUGGUGCCCUUGUCAAAGACAGCUUGGACAAGCAGAUCUUCCUCCAUGGCCCAUCGAAGGAAUGGAUAAAGGACAACAAGGCACAAGGGAUUUUUAAAAUUUCUUCAGAUUAUGGUACCCCUUACACAGAGUUUUGCGGUGAUUUUAGAAAGUUAAAAGUCUCCCC